AACAGAUUGCACCCCCAAUAGCUAUAGUUUUGAUGUUUAGGGUGGCUAAAAAUAAAAUAAAUAUCCUUAAAAUAUGAUUUUAAAGGAAACAAUCAGUAUAUACCACCUCUACAUCCUCAACUAUCUCAUAUUUGAGAUAGCUGAAUAACAUCUUUUUACACAUUUUUAUACAUUUACUAUACACAUUGAACUUGAAUUACUUCAUAACUUUAUGUGGCCAUUUCUCAAAAAAAGAAAGAAAGAAAGAGGGCAAAAGGAAAACAAACUGCACUAAAUAGCUAUAGUUUGAUGUUCAGGGUGGCUAAAAAGCAGAAUUUACCACACCUACAUACCUAAGAUGCCUUACACUUUCAUCAUGUGCAGCCCUAUUUUGACCUUACAGUUAAGUGAAGGUCCGUGUUGUGUGGUAUGCCUCAGCUCUCUGCUCUGCUGGAGUCUAACCACCAGACAUUUUGAUUUCAACAAGAGUGCUGAUGAAAAAUAAAUAAGCUGGAGGUAAAAAAAAGAGGCAGUAUUCACAUAGAAUAUUAUCAGGGCUGCUGUGUGACUGUGCCAGAGGUGACUAAGGGAAAAGAAGAAAGCAAGCUUCUGAAAUGAGGGUUCAGGAAGUAACUGAGUGUGGCUUCUUGGUGCUGCUGUGGUGACAGAACAGGCUACGUGGCCAAGGCAAGAUCUACUAAAGCUGAACAUGUACAUAUUUUAUGACCCAACAAUUCUAAUCCUGUGGCUACAUCCAAUCCAGAUAAGUGCUAUGUCUACCCUCCUGCCUGAAGUAACCAAAAAUGGACAAAAUAUAUGAAGCAAUGGUUUUUAAGGCAUUGUAUAUCAAGCAAUGAAGCAUAAUGACCCCUGAGAGAUGGGAAAUGAAUAAGGUGAGCCCUACAAUUGUACUAGUUUACUGCUUUGAGAGAGUUUCUAGGCUGUGGUGCACGGAGGAAUAACCCAGGAAGAGACUGGCAGAUUCCCUGAGUUGAAGCGAGUGCUGAGAACCCAGGGAUACCAAGAUGGCUAAAAUUCUUAAGACAGAGUACUAGAGAAGAGAGACACAGAGAAAACUCUAGAGAUCUGCAGAGAUUUGCCUAUGACAAUUCAGCUGAGUGAUUCCCAUCAUAUGUUUGUGAGGAAACUAUCUGAGGUUUAAAAAAUAAUCACUCAAAAUGAAUAGAGGAUACAGUACUCCAUGCUCACACAGGGCUGGGAAUAGUGCCUGUUUCCAUCAUCCAGACUGGAAAAACCUCAAGAUUCCUGGGGCACUGAGUAGAAUACAGAUAAAAGUCCUGCUUCAUUAGUGAGGAAUAAUUAGCCCUAGACAAGCAAUGCUCUAGUCCUGUACAACAAAUGUGGUAUGAAGAUUAUAUGGUAUUGAGUUUAUAAAAUAUGAAAAAGUAAAAUAUAUAGCAACAGUAGCAAAAUUUGGGAUGGGAGAAAUGAAAGUGAACUAUUGGACAGUUCUCAUACUAUACAUGAAGUAGUGUAUUACUCGAAGGUAGAGUAUGCUAAAGAUAUAUGCUAUAAACUCUAAAAUAACUAAACGAAACCACUAAAAUAACAAGAGUCACAGUUGUAAUGGAUAUAUCAACUUGACUGGCCUGCAGUGCCCAGGUAUGUAGUCGAACAUUAUUCUGGGUGGUUUGAUGAAAGUGACUUUGGAUGAGAUUAACAUUUAAAUCUGUGGACUUUGAGUAAAGCACAUGACCCUCCUUGAUGUGAGUGGGUCUCAUCCAGUCAGUAGAAGAUCUGAAUACAACAACAGACUGACCUCCCCAAGCAAGAAGGAAUCCUGCUGGUAGAAGGCCUUUGGACUUGUACUGCAAUACUGGCUCCUUCUUGGGCCUCCAACCUGCCAGCCUGCCUUGCAGAUUUUGGACUUCCCAGUCUCCAUGAUCAUGUGAGCCAAUUCCUUAAAAUAAAUCUCUUUUAUAUA
This is a long non-coding RNA of Homo sapiens (human), 1924 nucleotides long. RefSeq lists it as uncharacterized. The transcript is spliced from 2 exons. The record is from RefSeq and is a predicted model, not a curated record. Lineage: Eukaryota; Metazoa; Chordata; Mammalia; Primates; Hominidae.